ACGCUUGAAGUCAGUCGCGUUGGCUGGGGAUCAACCUUGCUCUUUUGCUUGGUGUACUUUCCAGUUGACGGGUCAGCAUCAAUUUUGACCAGUGGAUAAAGGUCAGGGGAAUGUGGCAUCUUCGGAUGUGUUAUAGCCCUUGGUUGCAUACAUUGGUUGGGAUUGAGGAACUCAGCACGCCGCAAGGCCGGGUCUUUGACCACGUACGUGCUUAGGAUGCUGGCAUAAUGGCUUUAAUCGACCCGUCUUGAAACACGGACCAAGGAGUC
This 269-nucleotide ribosomal RNA is filed under the name Lepista saeva. Its description in RNAcentral is "partial large subunit ribosomal RNA". It matches the Rfam family "Eukaryotic large subunit ribosomal RNA", at positions 419 to 675 of the family's 3401-position model. The record is from RNAcentral. Lineage: Eukaryota; Fungi; Basidiomycota; Agaricomycetes; Agaricales; Clitocybaceae.